GACGAACGCUGGCGGCGUGCUUAACACAUGCAAGUCGAGCGGUAAGGCCCUUUCGGGGUACGACGAGCGGCGAACGGGUGAGUAACACGUGGGUGACCUGCCCUCAGCUCUGGGAUAAGCCUGGGAAACCGGGUCUAAUACCGGAUAUGACUCCAUGACGCAUGUUGUGGGGUGGAAAGCCUUGUGCGGCUGAGGAUGGGCCCGCGGCCUAUCAGCUUGUUGGUGGGGUGAUGGCCUACCAAGGCGACGACGGGUAGCCGGCCUGAGAGGGCGACCGGCCACACUGGGACUGAGACACGGCCCAGACUCCUACGGGAGGCAGCAGGUGGGGAAUCUUGCGCAAUGGGCGAAAGCCUGACGCAGCGACGCCGCGUGAGGGAUGG
This 383-nucleotide ribosomal RNA is filed under the name uncultured bacterium. RNAcentral's name for it is "bacterial SSU rRNA". It matches the Rfam family "Bacterial small subunit ribosomal RNA", at positions 28 to 411 of the family's 1533-position model. The record is from RNAcentral.